GGAAAGACCCCGUGAACCUUUACUGUACUCUGAUAUUGGCUUUUGACUUGUCAUGUGUAGGAUAGCCGGGAGACGGUGAAGCAAAUUCGUCAGGAUUUGUGGAGUCAUCCUUGAAAUACCGGCCUUGACAUGUUGGAAAUCUAACGAAGCCCCAUGAAUCUGGGGUUCGGACAUUGUCAGACGGGCAGUUUGACUGGGGCGGUUUCCUCCUAAAAUGUAACGGAGGAGUCCAAAGCUUGUCUCAUCGUGGUUGGCAAUCACGAAUAGAGCGCAAAAGUAUAAGACAAGUUGACUGCGAGACCUACAAGUCGAGCAGGUACGAAAGUAGGGUUUAGUGAUCCGGCGGUGGAAAGUGGAAUCGCCGUCGCUUAACGGAUAAAAGGUACUCCGGGGA
This 394-nucleotide ribosomal RNA is filed under the name Stygamoeba regulata. RNAcentral describes it as "partial Bacterial large subunit ribosomal RNA". It matches the Rfam family "Bacterial large subunit ribosomal RNA", at positions 2082 to 2474 of the family's 2925-position model. The record is from RNAcentral. Lineage: Eukaryota; Discosea; Stygamoebida.